RNAcentral lists this ribosomal RNA (484 nucleotides) under uncultured bacterium. Its description in RNAcentral is "partial 16S ribosomal RNA". It matches the Rfam family "Bacterial small subunit ribosomal RNA", at positions 28 to 523 of the family's 1533-position model. The record is from RNAcentral.
GAUGAACGCUGGCGGCGUGCUUAACACAUGCAAGUCGAACGGUGAAGCAGGAGCUUGCUCUUGUGGAUCGGUGGCGAACGGGUGAGUAACACGUGAGCAACCUGCCCCUGACUCUGGGAUAGGCGCUGGAAACGGCGUCUAAUACUGGAUAUGUGAUGUGACCGCAUGGUCUGCAUCUGGAAAGAAUUUCGGUUGGGGAUGGGCUCGCGGCCUAUCAGCUUGUUGGUGAGGUAAUGGCUCACCAAGGCGUCGACGGGUAGCCGGCCUGAGAGGGUGGCCGGCCACACUGGGACUGAGACACGGCCCAGACUCCUACGGGAGGCAGCAGUGGGGAAUAUUGCACAAUGGGCGGAAGCCUGAUGCAGCAACGCCGCGUGAGGGUUGACGGCCUUCGGGUUGUAAACCUCUUUUAGCAGGGAAGAAGCGAAAGUGACGGUACCUGCAGAAAAAGCACCGGCUAACUACGUGCCAGCCGCCGCCGUAA